This 419-nucleotide ribosomal RNA is filed under the name uncultured bacterium. RNAcentral describes it as "bacterial SSU rRNA". It matches the Rfam family "Bacterial small subunit ribosomal RNA", at positions 8 to 423 of the family's 1533-position model. The record is from RNAcentral.
AGAGUUUGAUCAUGGCUCAGAUUGAACGCUGGCGGUAUGCUUAACACAUGCAAGUCGAACGGAAACGAUACUAGCUUGCUAGUAGGCGUCGAGUGACGGACGGGUGAGUAACGCGUAGGAAUCUACCUAGUAGCGGGGGAUAGCCCGGAGAAAUCCGGAUUAAUACCGCAUAAUCUCUAUGGAGAAAAGGGGCCCUCUUCUUGAAAGGUUUCGCUAUUAGAUGAGCCUGCGUAAGAUUAGCUUGUUGGUGAGGUAAAAGCUCACCAAGGCGACGAUCUUUAGCUGGUCUGAGAGGAUGAUCAGCCACACUGGGACUGAGACACGGCCCAGACUCCUACGGGAGGCAGCAGUGGGGAAUAUUGGACAAUGGGCGCAAGCCUGAUCCAGCAAUACCGCGUGUGUGAAGAAGGCCUGAGGGU